This 391-nucleotide ribosomal RNA is filed under the name uncultured bacterium. Its description in RNAcentral is "bacterial SSU rRNA". It matches the Rfam family "Bacterial small subunit ribosomal RNA", at positions 28 to 420 of the family's 1533-position model. The record is from RNAcentral.
GACGAACGCUGGCGGCGUGCUUAACACAUGCAAGUCGAGCGGUAAGGCCCUUUCGGGGGUACACGAGCGGCGAACGGGUGAGUAACACGUGGGUGACCUGCCCUCAGCUCUGGGAUAAGCCUGGGAACUGGGUCUAAUACCGGAUAUGACUCCAUGACGCAUGUUGUGGGGUGGAAAGCCUUGUGCGGCUGGGGAUGGGCCCGCGGCCUAUCAGCUUGUUGGUGGGGUGAUGGCCUACCAAGGCGACGACGGGUAGCCGGCCUGAGAGGGCGACCGGCCACACUGGGACUGAGACACGGGCCCAGACUCCUACGGGAGGCAGCAGUGGGGAAUCUUGCGCAAUGGGCGAAAGCCUGACGCAGCGACGCCGCGUGAGGGAUGACGGCCUGGU